This 923-nucleotide ribosomal RNA is filed under the name uncultured bacterium. Its description in RNAcentral is "bacterial SSU rRNA". It matches the Rfam family "Bacterial small subunit ribosomal RNA", at positions 8 to 937 of the family's 1533-position model. The record is from RNAcentral.
AGAGUUUGAUCAUGGCUCAGGAUGAACGCUAGCGGCAGGCUUAACACAUGCAAGUCGAGGGGUAUAGUUCUUCGGAACUAGAGACCGGCGCACGGGUGCGUAACGCGUAUGCAAUCUACCUUUCACAAAGGGAUAGCCCAGAGAAAUUUGGAUUAAUACCUUAUAGUAUAGCGAGUUCGCAUGGAUUUGCUAUUAAAGAUUUAUCGGUGAAAGAUGAGCAUGCGUCCCAUUAGCUAGUUGGUAAGGUAACGGCUUACCAAGGCUACGAUGGGUAGGGGUCCUGAGAGGGAGAUCCCCCACACUGGUACUGAGACACGGACCAGGCUCCUACGGGAGGCAGCAGUGAGGAAUAUUGGUCAAUGGGCGCAAGCCUGAACCAGCCAUGCCGCGUGCAGGAUGACGGUCCUAUGGAUUGUAAACUGCUUUUGUACAGGAAGAAACACCCCGACGUGUCGGGACUUGACGGUACUGUAAGAAUAAGGAUCGGCUAACUCCGUGCCAGCAGCCGCGGUAAUACGGAGGAUCCAAGCGUUAUCCGGAAUCAUUGGGUUUAAAGGGUCCGUAGGCGGCUUAAUAAGUCAGUGGUGAAAUCCCUACGCUUAACGUAGGAACGGCCAUUGAUACUGUUAGGCUUGAAUUAUUAGGAAGUAACUAGAAUAUGUAGUGUAGCGGUGAAAUGCUUAGAGAUUACAUGGAAUACCAAUUGCGAAGGCAGGUUACUACUAAUGGAUUGACGCUGAUGGACGAAAGCGUGGGUAGCGAACAGGAUUAGAUACCCUGGUAGUCCACGCCGUAAACGAUGGAUACUAGCUGUUGGAAGCAAUUUCAGUGGCUAAGCGAAAGUGAUAAGUAUCCCACCUGGGGAGUACGUUCGCAAGAAUGAAACUCAAAGGAAUUGACGGGGGCCCGCACAAGCGGUGGAG